Molecule: ribosomal RNA, 393 nt
Filed under: uncultured bacterium
Lineage: Bacteria
Description: bacterial SSU rRNA
Rfam family: Bacterial small subunit ribosomal RNA
Source: RNAcentral
AUUGAACGCUGGCGGCAUGCCUUACACAUGCAAGUCGAACGGCAGCACGGACUUCGGUCUGGUGGCGAGUGGCGAACGGGUGAGUAAUGUAUCGGAACGUACCUUUCAGUGGGGGAUAACGUAGCGAAAGUUACGCUAAUACCGCAUAUUCUGUGAGCAGGAAAGCAGGGGAUCGCAAGACCUUGCGCUGAUUGAGCGGCCGAUAUCAGAUUAGCUAGUUGGUGGGGUAAAGGCCUACCAAGGCUACGAUCUGUAGCGGGUCUGAGAGGAUGAUCCGCCACACUGGAACUGAGACACGGUCCAGACUCCUACGGGAGGCAGCAGUGGGGAAUUUUGGACAAUGGGGGCAACCCUGAUCCAGCCAUGCCGCGUGAGUGAAGAAGGCCUCGGUUG